AGACCCGAAACCCGGUGAUCUAGCCAUGGGCAGGUUGAAGGUUGGGUAACACUAACUGGAGGACCGAACCGACUAAUGUUGAAAAAUUAGCGGAUGACCUGUGGCUGGGGGUGAAAGGCCAAUCAAACCGGGAGAUAGCUGGUUCUCCCCGAAAGCUAUUUAGGUAGCGCCUCGUGAAUUCAUCUCCGGGGGUAGAGCACUGUUUCGGCUAGGGGGCCAUCCCGGCUUACCAACCCGAUGCAAACUGCGAAUACCGGAGAAUGUUAUCACGGGAGACACACGGCGGGUGCUAACGUCCGUCGUGAAGAGGGAAACAACCCAGACCGCCAGCUAAGGUCCCAAAGUCAUGGUUAAGUGGGAAACGAUGUGGGAAGGCCCAGACAGCCAGGAUGUUGGCUUAGAAGCAGCCAUCAUUUAAAGAAAGCGUAAUAGCUCACUGGUCGAGUCGGCCUGCGCGGAAGAUGUAACGGGGCUAAACCAUGCACCGAAGCUGCGGCAGCGACGCUGAUGCGUUGUUGGGUAGGGGAGCGUUCUGUAAGCCUGCGAAGGUGGCCUGUGAGGGUUGCUGGAGGUAUCAGAAGUGCGAAUGCUGACAUAAGUAACGAUAAAGCGGGUGAAAAGCCCGCUCGCCGGAAGACCAAGGGUUCCUGUCCAACGUUAAUCGGGGCAGGGUGAGUCGACCCCUAAGGCGAGGCCGAAAGGCGUAGUCGAUGGGAAACGGGUUAAUAUUCCCGUACUUGGUGUUACUGCGAAGGGGGGACGGAGAAGGCUAUGUUGGCCGGGCGACGGUUGUCCCGGUUUAAGCGUGUAGGUGUGUGUUCCAGGUAAAUCCGGUUCACUUUAACACUGAGGCGUGAUGACGAGGCACUACGGUGCUGAAGCAACAAAUGCCCUGCUUCCAGGAAAAGCCUCUAAGCAUCAGGUAACAUCAAAUCGUACCCCAAACCGACACAGGUGGUCAGGUAGAGAAUACCAAGGCGCUUGAGAGAACUCGGGUGAAGGAACUAGGCAAAAUGGUGCCGUAACUUCGGGAGAAGGCACGCUGACACGUAGGUGAAGUGAUUUACUCAUGGAGCUGAAGUCAGUCGAAGAUACCAGCUGGCUGCAACUGUUUAUUAAAAACACAGCACUGUGCAAACACGAAAGUGGACGUAUACGGUGUGACGCCUGCCCGGUGCCGGAAGGUUAAUUGAUGGGGUCAGCGCAAGCGAAGCUCCUGAUCGAAGCCCCGGUAAACGGCGGCCGUAACUAUAACGGUCCUAAGGUAGCGAAAUUCCUUGUCGGGUAAGUUCCGACCUGCACGAAUGGCGUAAUGAUGGCCAGGCUGUCUCCACCCGAGACUCAGUGAAAUUGAACUCGCUGUGAAGAUGCAGUGUACCCGCGGCAAGACGGAAAGACCCCGUGAACCUUUACUAUAGCUUGACACUGAACAUUGAGCCUUGAUGUGUAGGAUAGGUGGGAGGCUUUGAAGUGUGGACGCCAGUCUGCAUGGAGCCGACCUUGAAAUACCACCCUUUAAUGUUUGAUGUUCUAACGUGGACCCGUGAUCCGGGUUGCGGACAGUGUCUGGUGGGUAGUUUGACUGGGGCGGUCUCCUCCUAAAGAGUAACGGAGGAGCACGAAGGUUGGCUAAUCCUGGUCGGACAUCAGGAGGUUAGUGCAAUGGCAUAAGCCAGCUUGACUGCGAGCGUGACGGCGCGAGCAGGUGCGAAAGCAGGUCAUAGUGAUCCGGUGGUUCUGAAUGGAAGGGCCAUCGCUCAACGGAUAAAAGGUACUCCGGGGAUAACAGGCUGAUACCGCCCAAGAGUUCAUAUCGACGGCGGUGUUUGGCACCUCGAUGUCGGCUCAUCACAUCCUGGGGCUGAAGUAGGUCCCAAGGGUAUGGCUGUUCGCCAUUUAAAGUGGUACGCGAGCUGGGUUUAGAACGUCGUGAGACAGUUCGGUCCCUAUCUGCCGUGGGCGCUGGAGAACUGAGGGGGGCUGCUCCUAGUACGAGAGGACCGGAGUGGACGCAUCACUGGUGUUCGGGUUGUCAUGCCAAUGGCACUG
RNAcentral lists this ribosomal RNA (2049 nucleotides) under Salmonella enterica. RNAcentral describes it as "partial 23S ribosomal RNA". It matches the Rfam family "Bacterial large subunit ribosomal RNA", at positions 711 to 2740 of the family's 2925-position model. Lineage: Bacteria; Pseudomonadati; Pseudomonadota; Gammaproteobacteria; Enterobacterales; Enterobacteriaceae. The record is from RNAcentral.